Long non-coding RNA from Panthera uncia (snow leopard), 1387 nucleotides. RefSeq lists it as uncharacterized. The record is from RefSeq and is a predicted model, not a curated record. The transcript is spliced from 2 exons. Lineage: Eukaryota; Metazoa; Chordata; Mammalia; Carnivora; Felidae.
GCAUCUGAAAAUCAAAACAAAGGUUAAAAAAUGGUUUUCCUUGCAUAUCAUGUACUAGUUUGAUGAGAUCACAUUUGAAAUAAAGAUUUACAUUUCAUCUAAACAAAAUCAUGUAUUGUCUAUGGAAGCUUUUGCAUAAUGCAGAGCUGAGUGGUUACAACAGAAAGCGUGUAGCCCACAAAGAUUAGUAUUUACUUCCAAAGUCACAGAGAAAGGAAACAGCAAUAUCUCAUACCAUCCCCCCGAAUCGCUCAAAAUUCCAGAUAACGAGUUUGUUUCUAUUGCUGGGAAACUAACGCCCUCUAGGGACACUUCAGAGAAAAAACAUCUUCUGACGUCAACUACAACUGCAAACUCAAGGACUGCUGUGGUCCAGGCCAUUUAAUAGGGACCAGUUAACUGCAUGGACCAGUUAAUAGGGACCAUGCACUGACACCACUGGCUGCACCCAUUAUUUCCCUCAUGACUGUCUCAUAUGUCCUCUUACUUUUUUUUAACCAGGGCAUGCCUUGAUUACCAUGGGAAGAUGCAGAUGUUAGAAGGUAUUUUAAAGCACAUUAAUAACAGUUCUAAAGAAAGUCACAGCCUUUGACUUGGGGACUCUAAAACACAUUCUUCAAGGUGACACCCAUUAUGCAAAAUCAUGUUCUUUGACAGUGGUACCAAAUUCCGUUUAGAAAUUUAGUUUGGCUCUCCUCAUAGAUACUUCAAUCAGAAAUGACCUUUGAGACCACUUACUCCAAUUCUUCAUGUUGUAUAGUCUAGGACAGCAGUCUACAAAAUGUUGUGCAAUGAGACGCAUAAUAAAUAUUUUCAGCGUUGUGGGCCUUAUGGUUUCUGUCCCAAGUACUCAACUCAACUUACCACUGUGGUACACUAGCCAUAUACAACGCACAGACACACGGGCAUGGCUGUGUUCCAAUAAAAUGUAUUUGCAAAAACGAGCAGUAGGCCAGACUGGCUGGUGUGUUGGUUUGCUGAUUCCUGAUCUAGAAGGUCAACUUUCUUGUCAGAGAUCAGUGGGCAGGUUAGUGGCACAGCCAAAAUCAAAACCUAGGUUUUCUCUCUUAACCUAGAGUUUUUUCCUACAUUGUUUUAUUUUUACUGGGUUUAAUAUGUGAUACAUAUUAAAUAUUAAAACAGAGAAAACAAAAACUAAGGAGGUGAGACUUCAUAAGCAAAAAGAAGUUUAACACCUUCAAAUUAAGGCUCUGUUGGGAAAGAAACUAAAAGACUGUUAAAAAACAAAUGGAAAAGUUUAGUCAACUGACUAAACUUGGUUUGCUUGCUGCUACUUAGUAAGGUAAUCAAUUAUGAUCUUUGGGUUUGCAGAUUUCAUGGGUGUGUAAAUAUUUAGUGACUAAUAUUCAUAUUUUGUGGGUAAACU